GAAAGAUGAAAAGAACUUUGAAAAGAGAGUUAAACAGUACGUGAAAUUGUUGAAAGGGAAACGAUUAAAGUCAGUCGUACCUACGAGUAAUCAACCUACUCGAGUGCGAUUUUGUGGGUAUGUUAGAGUUUAAACCUUCAUGCUUACAAAUUGGUGCUCUUUGGGCGUACUUUCUCGUAUGGUAGGUUAACAUCAAUUUCGAUCGUUAUAAAAUGACUGGAGGAAUGUAGCUUCGAUCUCGGUUGAAGUGUUAUA
This 255-nucleotide ribosomal RNA is filed under the name uncultured Glomeraceae. Its description in RNAcentral is "partial large subunit ribosomal RNA". It matches the Rfam family "Eukaryotic large subunit ribosomal RNA", at positions 359 to 630 of the family's 3401-position model. Lineage: Eukaryota; Fungi; Glomeromycota; Glomeromycetes; Glomerales; Glomeraceae. The record is from RNAcentral.